Molecule: ribosomal RNA, 392 nt
Filed under: uncultured bacterium
Lineage: Bacteria
Description: partial 16S ribosomal RNA
Rfam family: Bacterial small subunit ribosomal RNA
Source: RNAcentral
AUACGUAGGGGGCGAGCGUUGUCCGGAUUUAUUGGGCGUAAAGGGUGCGUAGGCGGCCUUGUAAGUCAGAUGUGAAAGAUCAUGGCUUAACUGUGGUAAGCAUUUGAAACUGCAGGGCUUGAGUACAGGAGAGGAGAGUGGAAUUCCUAGUGUAGCGGUGAAAUGCGUAGAUAUUAGGAGGAAUACCAGUGGCGAAGGCGACUCUCUGGACUGAUACUGACGCUGAGGCUCGAAAGCGUGCGGAGCAAACAGGAUUAGAUCCCCUGGUAGGCCACGCUAUAAACGAUUAGUGCUAGGUGUCGGGGGUCAAACCUCGGUGCCGCAGUUAACACAUUAAGCACUCCGCCUGGGGAGUUCGGCCGCAAGGCUGCAACUCAAAGGAAUUGUCGGGG